UUUCUCUGUUCGAGAUCAUACUUGUCAGUCAAAAUAGGAAAAAAACUAGUGGAAGGAGAACCAUAAAUGCACCUUAAAGCCACAAGUGAACUCCAAAAUGCCUUCAUUGAAGCUGAGGGGUGGAUUGAAACCAGACGGUAGAGAGUAGGGAUCAGGAAUAUAGCAUGCCUUGGAGAAGCUGAACAAAGGCGAGCUGGCAGCGUCACCCAACAGAGAAGAACGCUGUCUCUGCUGCUCUAGUUCGACUCGCCUCUUCUUGGCACCGCCCGUGGCCAAUCCAGCAGCCGGAGUCAAGGCAGAGCAGAGGCAACCGCCACCCUAAAACCAAGUGCUGGAAAGAAGAUAACAGCAGGAAUGCUCGUCCUAUUCCCGAAAUGAGGAGGCCCGGUGGACGCAUCGGAGACCAUGGACAGGUCCUCCUCCUCCUCCUCCUCUUCUUCAAAGGAACCACCUUUGUCACGGAUGAGAAGCUAAGGGCAGUCACCGGAGGACUGACCUAAGUAGUCGGUCCAGCCUGAUUGGCAUCCGUUGCUGCAAUCUGAGCUAACAUCUUCCUCCUCUCCUUGCAUCAAUGAAUCAAUAUAGGAGAACGAUCUUUUCAUUCUCUUCGUCGAACAAAGGAGUGCCGAAGGCCCUCGUCGACAGUCUCCGACGCCACAGCGACCGCAGCGGCAGCGACGCCAGGGCGGUCGUCGCUGGGUACCUUACGACACGCGUGGAGGAGCACAGUAACACCCUCGGAGGCGGAGGGCACCGGAAAUGAAAUAGGUCAGAGGUUUAUUGCAGUUUGUAGUUCUGAUCUCAGAUUAGGUUUCUGUUCCUGUAUUGAUAUCAUCUUGGGCAUUGGACGAGAUAGGGCCGUAGAGAUUCUCUUUUUCUCCUCACUCAAAAAUGGCGCCUUGACAGUCUUGAUUGGUUUGAUUUGUUCAAAUGGUGCGGAGAAAAUUGACUCUACCAAUUGUUGGUUGCAAGACCUAUUUUUAGUUGCUUUGUGCUGAUGAUGUUCUUCAAGUGGAUCGACGAAGAUGCUAUUUGUCAGGAACGAAGAAUUUAAUCGUGCUUGAGUAGUCUUUUUAGUGUCUGAGCUAUCUUUCUAUUAAGAAUAUAUUUCUUGUCCAGAUUAGUGUUGGCUAUGAAUUCAGCUAGAACUUUGGCAUUAUGUUGAUAGCCCAUAGCAAAGAUUUGGUGGAAUACCCCACAUUGGUGAGAGCCUCGUGUACUAUACUCUUUGAAGGCAAUGAUGACUACUUUGUCUUGCAGUCUAUCUUGGAAAUAGGCUUUCCUUUGCCAUUAGUACUCACACUAGUUUGGUCUACUUGUAACUUUGCUGGAGAAAGCAAAAUAACUCUUGAAUCUAUUUGUAGUUUCUUCAUACUCCCUGAUUAACUCAUCUCACAUUAAUGUUUAUCCAUGGAAUUGAGGAAAUUUCCUAUUGUUUAAGACACAUGGGUGGUUUGGACACAAAGAAGAAUGAAGAGUGUAAAUGGUUACAGUGAUAAAGUUCAUCACAAACUUUCUUGGUAGAGACCUUGGAAAACUCUGUCCAAGUUUUGCAUCUUAUGACCUUUGGACUAAAGAGCAGAUUUGUUUUUUUUUCUUCUUCUUUUAAGAGUAUGUAGCAGAAUGGUUGAUCUAAUUUUUCUGUUGUAGCAGGUCAUAAAGUUGCUGGCCUUCAACUUUGCAGAAAGAAAGUUUCUUCUGUUGGGUGUCUUUCAAGAAGUCCUGACUCUUCCUUUCUCUUUUAAUUUUGCCUGCAAUCAGUUCUGGGUCAUGUUUAUUGUUUCCCUUCAGCUUGCUGAUUCAAGCACCAAUAACUGUGCAGUGGAAAAAUAAACCAGAUAUUAUGUUUACUACUAAUCUGGAGUAGGAUUGGCUUGUCCAUUCUCUUAUACUACCCAACUGAUGCAUUUACAAACCAACCUUUCUCAAGAAGAAAAUUCUGUUGAUGUCGUUUACAUAAACAUGUAAUUAUACAUAUUCUUCACCUUGGCUAAGGGAGAAAACAAGGGUCAAACCGUUAAAGCAAGUACUUUGUAGAAGCCUAUGAGCACAUAAUAGCUGGCAGCUACCAUUUAUUUCUAACUGGAGAUGAAGGAUUUCCCAUUGUCAUCCCUAUAUUUACAGUCAAGUUCAUGAUUAGAGUAGUGAUCUUUUUAAAAAAUCUUAAAUGGACCUGAAAUAUUAGAUAGUGAUGGAUUUAUUGCCUCAAAUUGUGUCAUAGUCUAUCGCAAUGCAGGAACUCUUAUGAUUAUUGGAUCAGCCCAAACUUAAAGCUCAAAGCCCACGAGCACCAAUUUUAGAUUUCAGUGGGAGGGGGAUUACUUCUCAGGGGCAGCAAGAUCUAGACCUAGUUGCUGGAUGUGUCUAAGGUACAAGCACAAUCUGAUCUUUUUCAUCAGCACUAUCUGUUUCAUUUGUCUAAUCCGAGACUUUUUUUUUUUUUUGCAAUUCUGACAUGAUUAUGUUUCUUAGAUUCAAUUCUGUCAGACUCAAGGUUAAUCAAGGUUGGCACAAAGGCAUCUUUCCAAUGUGCAUGUGCAGCUAUUUCUUCUGCCAUUGGUAGGUGGAGAACCUUGUGCCGGCAACCAUUAAUUGACAUGGAGAAGGCCUUCCACAAAGAGGUCAAAGAAAGCAAUAAGUCUGCUUGCAUCUCUGCAGCUGUCAUGAUCGAGUAGAAGUCAUGCCUAACACAACAUUGUCCUAAUGCCUAGAGUCUGAGGUUGUGAGAACUCCCAUUCUCAUCCAACACCCUCCUAACUUUUUCUUGUCUUCUUGUAUGAGAUGUUCUUAUUGGCUCUUGAGAAGGUCAAUGGCUGCACCAGAAACACACCCAACUCAUGACGAAUUCAACAAACGUAUUGGAUCUUCUCUUUGCAUCUCCAUAUAUAUAUAUAUAUAUAUAUAUAUAUAUAUAUAUAUAUGAUUGGAGUCUGGAAACAGGAUGAGAUAGAACAGAGUGAGGAAAGAAUCACAUGAAUUCUAUGUGCCGGUCAGAAUCGAUUGUUCGAUCAAUUAUUCUCCAUCUACUGUCAUAAAGAAUGUCUACUGAUUCUGUUGCCAAUGUCAUAUCAUUUUGUAUGAUUUGACGAAAUAAUAUCAACCCCAUUUUGUUAU
Long non-coding RNA from Musa acuminata AAA Group (dessert banana), 3114 nucleotides. RefSeq lists it as uncharacterized. The record is from RefSeq and is a predicted model, not a curated record. The transcript has 3 exons. Lineage: Eukaryota; Viridiplantae; Streptophyta; Magnoliopsida; Zingiberales; Musaceae.